Molecule: ribosomal RNA, 373 nt
Filed under: uncultured organism
Description: bacterial SSU rRNA
Rfam family: Bacterial small subunit ribosomal RNA
Source: RNAcentral
CGUAGGGCGCGAGCGUUGUCCGGAUUUAUUGGGCGUAAAGAGCUCGUAGGCGGCUUGUUGCGUCAGCUGUGAAAACCCGCAGCUCAACUGUGGGCUUGCAGCUGAUACGGGCAGGCUUGAGUUCGGUAGGGGGGACUGGAAUUCCUGGUGUAGCGGUGAAAUGCGCAGAUAUCAGGAGGAACACCGGUGGCGAAGGCGGGUCUCUGGGCCGAUACUGACGCUGAGGAGCGAAAGCGUGGGGAGCGAACAGGAUUAGAUACCCUGGUAGUCCACGCUGUAAACGUUGGGCGCUAGGUGUGGGGGGCCUCUCCGGUUCUCUGUGCCGCAGCUAACGCAUUAAGCGCCCCGCCUGGGGAGUACGGCCGCAAGGCUA